This is a long non-coding RNA of Salarias fasciatus (jewelled blenny), 1132 nucleotides long. RefSeq lists it as uncharacterized. The record is from RefSeq and is a predicted model, not a curated record. Lineage: Eukaryota; Metazoa; Chordata; Actinopteri; Blenniiformes; Blenniidae. The transcript is spliced from 3 exons.
AUAGGCUCACAGAGAUGGAGUUCGGCGUGUGUGUGACUCACGACUCAACGUGACGUAAGUGAGAUCCAGCUGCACUUUUUAAAAAAGUAACAGCGCCAUGUCAGACGGUAGAUAGCGGAAAUAAAUGAUGGGGGGCACAGCUUCCAGAAGCACUGCAGCACACAGCUAAUUACACAACUAUGCAGGCAAGUGUGUGUGUGAGGAAACAUUACCUACUCACCACCAUCUUUCUCUGUUUAAUUAGGCACCCCUCCCCUCGCCUCUUACCCUGGCCUGGGAUUUGAUAAACAGGAAGUGAGGCGCCCGAGCACUUCCUGGCUCCCUUCAAGCGGGCCUCUGGUUUCCCAGAGGUUGAACGGGUAAAGCGACGGGCUGCAGCGGCGACCGGUUUCUCUGCCACCUUCACAAUCCACACAAAGCCCCCAGAGAUUUCAGUUGAUGGAAGUUGCUUAAUUAAAGACAAGAUCAAGCGCUCUUUCUAUUGGUCUGUGAGCCUGACUGUGGCUGUGCUGACUGGGAGGAUCUAAAUACGGAGGUGAGGUUAGUGCAAGGCCAUCUCUUUUGCCGCCUCCUGAGCCAGCAGAAGGAGGACGCUCCUGAAAACACACACACACACACACACACACACAGCCGUCUGCGUUAUGCAACUGGCCUCGUGUGUGAGGUCUGCCCUCCGCAGUGGCUCCACGGCAGGUGAAAGUCGAGAAGGACGGUCGGGAAAGUCAAAGCAAGACUGAGGGACGUCGAAACGUGUGCACCGACCGACCUGCCAGAGUCUGAUGAAGCACAUGCUGAGUAAACGGAGACAUCUGACAGGGCUGUCACUGUACUUCUGAUUAUAUUAUUUAAAACUUCACAAAUAGUCUCAUUCAGAGAGAAGAAUAGACUAAAACCCAUGUAUGCAUGGCUAGCACUUAUGUGUAUUUUAUCUGACAAUUAUUUCUGGGUGUCCUUUAAAAAAAAAAAAAAAAAUAACGAGCUUGAAAAAAUGUCUUUAAUGUACUUGCAUAACUUUUUAUGCUGCAUUGCUAUUUGGUAUUCACAAGAUCGAAAAAGCACUGAAAGAUCCAAAACAGAAGUGUCUAACAUAAGGUUCAUGGACCAAAUCCAGCCAGCAAGAGGCUGCAAUCCA